This is a long non-coding RNA of Suricata suricatta (meerkat), 1361 nucleotides long. RefSeq lists it as uncharacterized. The record is from RefSeq and is a predicted model, not a curated record. The transcript is spliced from 3 exons. NCBI's taxonomy places the organism in Eukaryota, Metazoa, Chordata, Mammalia, Carnivora, Herpestidae.
UGAGGGAGACUAGAGACAGGGGGCAGCAGACACGUGGGGCUUGGUGGGAAUCUCCCAGCACCCAGAAACUAGGAAUUGAAAGGAACUGGAUCUCUUCUGAGGUAGACAGACCACAACUGCAGAGCAUCGUCAGACAGGAGAUAAAUACGUCCAUGUACAACACGCAGCAAAAUGAGGUAGAAAUGGUUACAGCUGGAGGAGAGGAACCCAACCCCAGUCUGGAUAGAGGAAGAGGAGGACCAGCCUGCCGAGUCUGUCCUCCCCACCAUCCCUGCCCCUGGAUUCUUUGGGCCCUUUACGGCAGUGCGGCCCACUGCCUCUGAGGCACCAAAGCCCUGUGGCCAGCCAGCUCCAAGCAGAGGGCCAGAAAGACCAAGGAUGAAAAGUGGGGGUUAAAAACAGAGCAGCUUUCCUGUAGCACUCCUAGGCCAGCACAGGCCCUCGGCAUCUUGGCACCUGGUGUUCCCUGUGGACACCAUUCCAGCUGGGAGCAGGAGAUGGUAAUGAGACUGUGAGGGCUGGAAGGGUGAGCAGGGAACAGGGAGGGAGGCAGGGGUGGGAGAGAGAAGAGGUAGGGUGAGGGCUUGCCUCCCUGCUUUGGACCAAAGGUCAGAGUAAUGAAAUGGGCUCCCUGAGGAGGAGAGAAAUAAAAGGAAGCCCCAGCAAGUUUGCUAGGAAGGAAAAGAAUACUGUUCUCACAAGGAAGGGCCCGAAGGCUGGCUUCUGGUGGAGAGUUUGGGUGGGACUGAAAAUAAACCUCCAGCAUCCGGGGGAAAAAAACCCAUCCCCUUCACCAUCUCAAAGCCCUUCGAGCUCCCAACUGGGGACCCUAGGAGAACGGGCCAGGCAUGCUUCCCCACAGAACUUUCUGUAAAGUGGUGCUAACUCCUCAGAGCCUCCCAACACACAGGGAAGCAGCCUGUAGUCAAUUUUGUGCCAACCAGACUUGUGGCCACAUGGUCUUCGCUCCCAAGGAAGUCCGAAGUUAGAGAUCUCUACCUAGGGAAGAGCUAGGUGAGAUGACCACUCUGGGGACUUUCCGCCUCGGACACCUUCUCAUUUGGGUCCUCUCUUUUCUGGAUCUGGGACAGGAAGGGGUCAAGGACAUCCCUCUGGAUAACCCUAAACAGCAAACACUAACCUGGAGAGUGGGGCUCAAGGGGAGAGAAACAGGACCUACCUCCUUUCAAAUCCCACAGUCCACGCCCCCACGCCCCUGCCCACAACCUUGGACCUGGGGAGGAAGCUCUAGAAAUACAUUCCGCUUCUGUCCCAGGAAGAGCAGGGGUUUCAGUGUGGCUCUGGGUCUUCCCCUCCGUUCCCCACAAGUUUCAUUUUCUGAGUCUUCUGGGGAGAAUUUG